Molecule: long non-coding RNA, 357 nt
Organism: Cyprinus carpio carpio
Lineage: Eukaryota; Metazoa; Chordata; Actinopteri; Cypriniformes; Cyprinidae
Source: Ensembl
UGUGUGUGUGUGUGUGUGUGUGUGUGUGUGUGUGUGUGUGUGUGUGUGUGUGUGUGUGUGUGUGUUUGUGCACUUGACUUUAGGAAGAGCUGAGGAGCAGGCAUCUGUGUUCACUGUUAUCUACACUGGAAGAACUUGAGAUUGACAGUGGAUGCUCUGAAAUACACAUCACCUCAGAAUGACUGCUAAACACAGACCAGCUCAAGACUGAUCUUCAGAAAUGCUGCUCAGGCGCUCCAUCAUUUCCUCGUCAGCCCCUGGUCCCUGCCCUGGCCUGAAGUCAUCGCUCAGUUAGGCAGCUGGCAGGCCGGCCCUGAGGGUCCCCAGUGGGGAGUGAGGAGUCAAGGGUUGGUCACU